This 2721-nucleotide long non-coding RNA is filed under the name Nicotiana tabacum (common tobacco). Its description in RNAcentral is "long non-coding RNA (NTAB_LNC003306)". The record is from RNAcentral. Lineage: Eukaryota; Viridiplantae; Streptophyta; Magnoliopsida; Solanales; Solanaceae.
CUUGAAGUAGUUAUGCCUGAGAUUCCUAAGCCUGAAUUGCCCCAUCUACCAGAAAUCCCAACUUUGCCUAAGCCUGAAUUCCCUGAAAUUCCAAAACCUGAGUUGCCAACUCUGCCAAAGCCACAAUUUCCUGAAAUCCCAAAGCCGGAGUUGUCAUCAUUUCCAAAGCCUGAGCUGCCAACGUUGCCAAAACUCGAGUUUCCUGCCAUUCCUAAGCCUGAAUUUCCAACUUUGCCAAAGCCAGAAAUCCCUCAGGUGCCUAAAAAGCCUUGAGUUUGAUGCGAAUGACAUCCUCUUUUCCUCAUGGAAGCAGAGCAUUAUAUUGUUGAAUGUUACACUUCCCUUGUGUCAUGUGAUCAUGUUUUUUCUUUUGGUUAAUUUUGUUGUACUAGAGAUAUUUGAAGUUUUCCUUUUGGAAAGAUUACUUAUGUGAUUUCUGUCAUCAGUUGCAGCUUCUUUUGGAUGAAAUAUUUAUGUGAUUGUUCUAUCAUCGGUACUUCACUACUGUAUUUGUGUUUCUAAUGGCAUUCAUAUACAAUUAUUUAAUAUUGAUGGGAACCCUUGGAGCAACGGUAACGUUGUCUCUGUGUGAACUAUAAGUCAUGGGUUCGAGCCGUGGAAGCAGCCACUAAUGCUUGUAUUAGGUUAGACGGUCCAUAUCACACCCUUGGGUGCAGCCCUUACUCAGAACCUGCGUGAACACGAGAUACUUUGUGCACCGAGCUUCCCUUUAUACAAUUAUUUAAUAUAUAAAGAAACUUACAAUGCUUAUAGAAUGACUAUAAUUGCAAUUCCUAGAGUUCUAGAAAACUCAAUAUUUGACAAAUAACUUUUAUCAUGCAACAAUCAUCAGAACAUUCUCUUAUGUAUCCAUAUAGUCGUUGCAAAUUCAAAAUAUGUUGCAAAAUUUUGUCGUUGGUUCCUUCUCAUGCUAGGCAAAAUAAUCUUAGUUUUUGAUUCAUGUUUCCUAUUCAAGACUGCUCAAGAACAUAAGAAAAUUGUGCAUAACUCUUCUAGGUAUGAAGCUGAAGCUUAGUCUAAAUUCUGAGGGAUAAAUACAUAGUGUUCAUAUCCAGUUAAAGACUAUCCUGGAAAAUUGCUCUUAGCUGAGCUGAGACUCUUAUUACUUUUUCUUACAUCUCGAGACACUGCAAAAAAUGUCAGAUAAUAAGCCUAAUUUACCUCUGGUGACGCAGAGGAACACAAGACUAAAAUUAGGAGCAGAUAACAGUAAAACCAAUCGAGCAGUUUGAUUUAUGAAGAAGUAGAAGGAAGCAUAGAAUUUUCAGCAUAAGAAAAACAAGACUAACUAGUUAAAUAUCUACCUCCAUCUGAAAGGAGAGACAUGAAGCAAAAAGAAUAUCAGGAAUGGACUAUAGUCUGAAGCAAAGUUUAGAAAAUAAACGAAAGCUGCAUUUCGUUUUCAGUAUCAGAAAUUGUCAAAUAAUUCCAUGUAACUUCUACUCCCGGACUUUAGUGAGGAUCUUGUGACAUAACUAACAGUACUUAAACAAUAGACUGACCGCAAUUCUUGGCCCCGAGUUUUAGCAAUUGCCAAUGUUACCCGUGUCCAGGGGCAUAUUUACGGUGCUCCUGUAAAAAUGGUUCAAUGGCUAGUCUAGAAAACAGCUAAGCAUGUAUAUAGAGGCUAAUGGAUUUGUAUCUUUUUUCUUUACUUCUUCAGUAUCCGGUAGGGGAGUAAACAGGAUUUUACUUGAUGUAGAUAAGCAUUAAUUUAGUAAUGGAGUUGCUCAUGUUUCUACAACUAGAUUAAACAUAUAAUUACCUAUACAAUAUUAUGGAUUAAACAAGGAGUUGAAACCAAUUACUUGCCAUCUUGAAGUGGUAAAAAGUUUAAAGAAAGGUGAGUUCUUAUUGGAUUACCUACUAGAAGACCUUUCUUAUGUUAUGACCUUAGCUUGUAGGAAGACCAACAUAAAAUAUGUAAUAGAUAUUAGCAUGGAGAGUUUGCUUUAAAUUAAAUUAGGAGGUUAUUGUUGAGAAGAUGAACUAACAGUCAGUUUUUCCUACCAACCACAACCAAAGCUCAAUUCUCUUUCCUAUUCUCCACAUCCAAUAUCUAUAUAAACUCAACCAAAGUAGCCUAAGACAUAAUCACUGAGUAUAAAAUACAAAUCUUCAAGAAUUUAUCGCACCUUCAACAAUGGCUUAUCACCACAACCCAUCCUUUUCCUUGUUAUUACUUGUCACUUUAUCAUUAAUAAGCAGCUAUCUAAUUCAAGCAGAAGCACGCCAUCUUCUUGAAGUAACUAUGCCUGAGCUUCCUAAGCCUGAAUUGCCACAUCUACCAGAAAUCCCAACUUUGCCUAAGCCUGAAUUCCCUGAAAUUCCAAAACCUGAGCUGCCUGCUCUGCCAAAGCCACAAUUGCCAGAAAUCCCGAAGCCGGAGCUUCCAACAAUGCCAAAGCCUGAACUUCCAACGAUGCCAAAAUUCGAGAUCCCUGCCAUUCCUAAGCUUGAAUUUCCAACUUUGCCGAAGCCAGAAAUCCCUCAAGUGCCUCAGAAGCCUUGAGCCCGAGGCGUAUGAAACUCUCUUUGCCUCAUUGAAGUAGCAUUGUUGAAAUGUUAACACUUAUUGUGUCAUAUGAUCAUAUGCUUUUCUUUGUUGUUCUAGAAUCAUUUGAAGCUUUCCUGUUGGAAGAAUUGUUUAUGUGAUUGUUCUGUCAUCAGUUAACUAAUAUAUUUAUUUCGUGGCAUUAU